UACGUAGGAUGCAAGCGUUGUCCGGAAUUAUUGGGCGUAAAGAGCGCGCAGGCGGUCUGCCAAGUCAGAUGUGAAAGAGGCCGGCUUAACCGGCAAGGGUCAUUUGAAACUGACAGACUAGAGUGCAGCAGAGGAUAGCGGAAUUCCCGGUGUAGUGGUGAAAUGCGUAGAUAUCGGGAGGAACACCAGUGGCGAAGGCGGCUCACUGGCCCGAUACUGACGCUGAGGCACGAAAGCGUGGGGAGCAACAGG
This 252-nucleotide ribosomal RNA is filed under the name uncultured bacterium. RNAcentral describes it as "partial 16S ribosomal RNA". It matches the Rfam family "Bacterial small subunit ribosomal RNA", at positions 524 to 775 of the family's 1533-position model. The record is from RNAcentral.